UUUUUUUCAACAUCAGCCGGCCAGAGAAAAGGAAAUUGGGGCUACAAGUUGCACAAGGAGCUCUUGUUCCACUAUGCAGCAGAGCGAAACAUCUCCGGGCUGUGGCAUUUCCAAUGCCCCCUGUUCCUAGCUAACCUUGCAAUGCUUAUGACUAAUCUAAUCAUCACAUGUAUAUGAUAGUUGCAAAGUUUUGGUUGCCAUUGCAACAGAAGCACAAGAUUGUGAUUGUUACAGUUAUCACUUGUAUAUGACUAGUCUAAUCAAGUACUGACAUUGCUCUAAAUCGAUCAACCCCCAAGUAACUUUCGAGGAAGCUAUGAACACUGCCGAUAAGUAUUUAGAUCCUCUUCCAUUUCUACCAUUC
Molecule: long non-coding RNA, 364 nt
Filed under: Oryza brachyantha (malo sina)
Lineage: Eukaryota; Viridiplantae; Streptophyta; Magnoliopsida; Poales; Poaceae
Description: long non-coding RNA (OBRA_LNC003047)
Source: RNAcentral